GCCGCAUUCGACUACUGGCUAGGUCAGUUGCUUCUCAGGCAACAGGAAGGAGAUCGAUACUCCUAUGCGGUAC
RNAcentral lists this transfer RNA (73 nucleotides) under Stieleria maiorica. RNAcentral describes it as "tRNA-Glu". Lineage: Bacteria; Pseudomonadati; Planctomycetota; Planctomycetia; Pirellulales; Pirellulaceae. The record is from RNAcentral.